This 379-nucleotide ribosomal RNA is filed under the name uncultured cyanobacterium. RNAcentral's name for it is "bacterial SSU rRNA". It matches the Rfam family "Bacterial small subunit ribosomal RNA", at positions 976 to 1356 of the family's 1533-position model. Lineage: Bacteria; Bacillati; Cyanobacteriota. The record is from RNAcentral.
AGGGUUUGACAUCCUGCGAAUCCCUUGGAAACGAGGGAGUGCCUUCGGGAGCGCAGUGACAGGUGGUGCAUGGCUGUCGUCAGCUCGUGUCGUGAGAUGUUGGGUUAAGUCCCGCAACGAGCGCAACCCACGUCGUUAGUUGCCAGCAUUCAGUUGGGCACUCUAGCGAGACCGCCGGUGAUAAACCGGAGGAAGGUGUGGAUGACGUCAAGUCAUCAUGCCCCUUACAUCCUGGGCUACACACGUACUACAAUGCUACGGACAAAGGGCAGCAAACUCGCGAGAGCUAGCAAAUCCCAUAAACCGUGGCUCAGUUCAGAUCGUAGGCUGCAACUCGCCUACGUGAAGGAGGAAUCGCUAGUAAUCGCAGGUCAGCAUA